ACCUUCUCAUGAGCUCCUCUUAAUCUUACCCAUGAUUCUGUAUGGAUUCGCACGAGAAGCAGAGCUAAUGCUCAGUUAGAACAGGCCUGCCAUAUUUGCAUAUUGGCAUUGCCUAUGUCUGCUGUGCAACAAGU
Small nucleolar RNA from Parambassis ranga (Indian glassy fish), 134 nucleotides. Its record names the gene SNORA75. It matches the Rfam family "Small nucleolar RNA SNORA75". From Rfam's summary of the family: U23 belongs to the H/ACA class of snoRNAs. snoRNAs bind a number of proteins (including dyskerin, Gar1p and Nop10p in the case of the H/ACA class) to form snoRNP complexes. This class are thought to guide the sites of modification of uridines to pseudouridines by forming direct base pairing interactions with substrate RNAs. Targets include ribosomal and spliceosomal RNAs as well as the Trypanosoma spliced leader RNA (SL RNA) as possibly other, still unknown cellular RNAs. The record is from Ensembl. Lineage: Eukaryota; Metazoa; Chordata; Actinopteri; Ambassidae.